This 299-nucleotide RNase P RNA is filed under the name Deltaproteobacteria bacterium HGW-Deltaproteobacteria-13. Its description in RNAcentral is "RNase P RNA component class A". It matches the Rfam family "Bacterial RNase P class A". Rfam says of the family: Ribonuclease P (RNase P) is a ubiquitous endoribonuclease, found in archaea, bacteria and eukarya as well as chloroplasts and mitochondria. Its best characterised activity is the generation of mature 5'-ends of tRNAs by cleaving the 5'-leader elements of precursor-tRNAs. Cellular RNase Ps are ribonucleoproteins. Lineage: Bacteria; Deltaproteobacteria. The record is from RNAcentral.
GGAGAAGAUCAGAUGAUCGUCGGCAGAAUUUAUCUGCCGGAGGAAAGUCCGAGCUCCACAGGGCAGGAUGGUCGCUAACGGCGACUGGGGGGCUCACCGCUUUUCCGGUGACGGAAAAGGCAUGGUAAACCCCAUCCGGAGCAAGACCAAAUAGGAGAACGUUUAAGGGCUGCCCGCCUGAAGUUCUCGGGUAGUGUCGCUAGAGGCGGCAGGCAACUGCCGUCCCAGAUGAAUGAUCAUCGUUGCGUCGCGGGUAACCAAAACGCAAAACAGGACUCGGCUUAUGAUCUUCUCUUGUG